AAGUCGUAACAAGGUUUCCGUAGGUGAACCUGCGGAAGGAUCAUUAAUGAAUAGAACUUGAUGGAUUGUAGCUGGCUCUUCUUUGAGCAUGUGCACAUCUGUCAUUUUUAUCUUUCCACCUGUGCAUUGUUUGUAGGACCUUGAGCAUCACAACAUCUUUCUAAGUGUCAACUUAGUCGUGGAGAUUGCUGGAAACUCCCACUCAGCUUUCUUUGAGGUGUUUUAGGGACUAUGUCUAUCAUCAUAAACCACUUUUAAAACCCAGAAUGUCGUAUUGUUUGAAAGGUCUUAUGUACCUAUAAUAACAAUUAAAACAACUUUCAGCAACGGAUCUCUUGGCUCUC
Molecule: unclassified non-coding RNA, 344 nt
Filed under: air metagenome
Description: partial contains small subunit ribosomal RNA, internal transcribed spacer 1, and 5.8S ribosomal RNA
Rfam family: Eukaryotic small subunit ribosomal RNA (bases 1-46)
Source: RNAcentral